AGCGCGAGGCUGAUAAAGCCGGGUUUGGCCCGCGGAGCCCCAGCCCCAGCAUCUCACUGCUGAGGACAGAAGGGAAGACUUGGAGCCAAGAGACUGAGAGCGUUGAAUAACGGGGCAUCCUUUCCUAAAGAGUCCACAUCCGAGGAGCCUCAGACAGGAGUGGCCUGGGACCUGGCCAAGAACACAAAUCAAAGGGAGAGGGUUGGGUGCAAGUGCUGCCUGCUCCCGGGAGGAAGCUGCCUUCCUUGCCCGUUGUCCAAACAAUGGAAUUUCCUGGAUUCCUUGCUGCAGUUCUUCAAAGUUCAUGGACAUAUGCUGACUUUUUAAAAGCUCGCUGUUACCAGGGGCAAAAAGAAGCAUAAGAGAAAAAUGCUUACCUUCAGACUCUCCAAGGUAGUCAAAAAAUUCUUCCCAAAGAAAUGACCAACAGCGACAAAACUGCUCACCUGUUCAUCGUGAAUCUGGAUCCUGGCUGUCACACAGCAGGUUACUAGGUCCUGGGUGGGAUGCGGAGACGGGAGGAUAGAAGGAACAGGAGAGGGUCUAAUCAUCAAAACUGGGGUCCAGUGGUGUACCAAAUGGGUCCUACUGCCAGGCUAACCUCACCCCCUUCCUCGUUCCCCCUCUAUCCUCCCCACCCCCCAGUGGCUUCUUGUUCUCUGACUGUUCAAGAUGUUUCUCCCCUCUGCGCCUGUACCCUUGCUGUCUUUUCUGCCCACCCACACCCAUUCCAUUCCUCUGUCCAUUAACAUUCAACAUGGAGAAUGCCACCUUCAGGCAGCCCCCCACCGUGACCCUCUCAGAUUGUAUGGAGCUGGGCAGAGGAACACACUGGAAGGACACCUAAUACAAUCUGAGAGGGUCAGGGUGAGUGGGCAGCAAGGAAGGUGAGGACGUUAUGUUUAAGCUGACACCCAAUGACAAAUGUAGUAGAAUAAAGAGUAACAUCAAGAAGACGAAAUCGGGGACUUCACUGGUGGCAUAGUGGUUAAGAAUCCGCCUGCCAAUGCAGGGGACAUGAGUUCGAUCCCUGGUCCGGGAAGAUCCCACAUGCCAUGGAGCAACUAAGCCCGUGCGCCACAACUACUGAAACCCACGCACCUAGAGCCCGUGCUCCAGAACAAGAGAAGCCACGGUGAUCAGAAGCCUGUGCACCACAACAAAGAGUAGCCCCCACUCGCCACAACUAGAGAAAAGCCUGCGCGAAACAGCAAAGACCCAACACAGCCAAAAAUAAAUAAAGAAAUUAAUUAAUUAAUUAAAAAAAAAAGACAAAAUCAGGGACUUCCCUGGUGGUCCAGUAGUUAAUACCCUGAGCUCCCAAUACAGGGGGUCCAAGUUCGAUCCCUGGCUGGGGAACUAGAUUCCACAUGGUACAACUAAGAGCCAGCACAGACAAAUAUUAAAAAAAAAAGAUGAAACCAUGCAAAGGGCCCCUGAGGCAUGAACAAAUGCAGCACUUGUAUUGUCCUUGUGUGUUUGUCAUCUGUCUCCUCCACCGAGCCGCAGUCUCCAUGACAGGAAGGACCACGUCUAUUUUAUUUGCCAACAUAUGCCCAGUGCCCAGCAUAGUGCCUGCCUGGCACAUAGUAUGUGCUCAGUAUACAUUAUUGAAUAUUGAGUGAACCGCUGCCCACCAUUCUUCCUGCCUAAGACCAGGACCGUUCCUGCAGGUCUGGGUCAUGGGGCCCCAGCUUGGGAGAACAGAGCAAGGCAGAAGCUGCUUUCCUUGUAGUGUCUGGCAGUGAGAGAGGGCCAGAGACUCAGGGCCCAGGUGAGUGAGCCCCAUCUCAGCCACAGCUUUCAAGGCUUCAAGUUCGGGCUGUUUAUUUUCUGUGCUUAUGGGAAUCUGAGAACAGUCUUGACUGAAUUCCUUCUUAUCUCUCAGCUGCAUGGUAAUUUCUGGGGAAAAGGAAGCUUGGAAUUAAGAGUUCAAAUCCCCCGAAAGCCAUAUGCCAAGCCACAUAGGAGGAAAAAUCCCCAGCUGCCUUCUUUAGUAUAAGGAUGAUAGCAGCUAACUGGCAUGCUGAUCUGGGCCAGCCAAGCCUUUAACUCAAUCAAAACAACAACAACCACAGCAGCUAUAAAAUUCCUGCUGUGGCUGUUGGUUCUAGGGACCCAUCUCCUACCAGCUGCUUUGCAUCUUUUUACUUGUUUGUUUGUUAGUGCCUAGGAUAUUUAAGUUCUUUGAAGGCUCUGGGCCUAUUUCACUCUAUAUCAAAUAUCUUAAAUUCUAACCAAAUCUUACAUUAGGUAUAAUGCAUUUUGCUCUUGCUCUAAAACAUUUGAAAGGGUUUUUGUUUCAGCUAGCUAAUGCUGCAUAACAAAUCACCUCAAAACUUAGUGGCUUAAAACAACAAUAUAUUAUCUUUCAUGGGGUGGUUCUUCUGCUCCAAGUAGGAUUAGCUGGGACAGUGGGUAACUAUAAUCAGCUGAAGCACUGACCAGGAGCUCAGCUGAAAUUGAAAUGUUUGAGAUGCCUGGGCAUCUGGAAUCAGUUGGUGCUUGACUGGGAGCUCAGGUGGGGCUGUAACCUGGGGCACUUGGUUCUUCUCCAUGUGGGCCUUUCUAGGUGACCACUUGGACUGUCCCAUGGCAUGGUGGCUAAGUUCUAAGUAGGACUGUGCCAAGAGGAAGCCUUCCAAAAGGAAGGCAGUAGAAGCUACCAGAUCAAUUAAGGUCCAGUUUUGGAAUUGGUAUAGCAUUGUUUUGUCUAUAUUUUAUCAGUCAAAGCAGUGACAGGCCUGUCCCACAGUUAAUGUGGGAGGGGACACACAAGGGUAUAAGCACUGGGAGAUGUGAACGUCUGGGUCAUCAAAAUGAUCAUCUAAGUUUUUAAAUAAUUAUUACUGUGGUUCCUCAAAAAAUUAAACACAGGAAUACCAGCAAUUCCACUUCUGCAUGUAUACCCAAGAGGUUUGAAAGCCAGGAUUUGAAUAGAUAUUUGUGUAUCCAUAGGUACAGCAGCGUUAUUCACAAUAGCUAAAAGGUGGAAACAACCCAGAUGUCCAUCGAUGGAUGAAUAGAUAAACAAAAUGUGGUCCAUCCAUACGAUGGAGUAUAUUAUUCAGUCUAAAAAAGGAAGGAAAUUCUGAUCCAUGCUAUAACAUGGAUGAACCUGAAGACAUUAUCCUUAGUGAAAUAAGCCAGUCACAAAUGGACAAAUAUUGUAUGAUUCCACUUACAUGAGGUGCCUAGGGAAGCCAAAUUCAUAGAGACAGUAUAUAGGAUAGUGCUUGCCAGAGGCUGGGGAGAGGAGGGGACGGGAGUGAUUGUUUAAUGGGUACCAAGUUUCAGUUUGAGAAGAUGAAAAGAUUCUGCAGAUGGGUAGUGAUGAUGGUUGUACAAUAACGUAAAUGUACUUAAUGCUAGUGAACUGUGUUUUUGAAAAUGGUUAAAUGUUAAAUUUCAUGUUAUGUAUGUUUUAUCAUAAUAAAAACGUUAUUCUUUUAAA
Molecule: long non-coding RNA, 3454 nt
Organism: Lagenorhynchus albirostris (white-beaked dolphin)
Lineage: Eukaryota; Metazoa; Chordata; Mammalia; Artiodactyla; Delphinidae
Exons: 2
Source: RefSeq, a predicted model, not a curated record